GUACCGUCCAAGGCUCCAUGAAGUUUAAUCCCUCCACUCACAAAGGAGCUAGUCUGUCAGCCUGAAUCGAAAUACGUCCCUUCGUACUAGCCGGCGCGUUAGUACGAAACUGUGCGAACGAUAUCGAAUCACUGGGCUUAAAAGAGUGCGUAGGCGGUAUCUAAGUCAGGUGUGAAAUAUUCUCUGCUCAACCCGGGAGACUGCGCUUGAAACUGGAUGACUGGAGGGAUGCAGGGGUGUGUGGAACUUCCGGUGGAGCGGUGAAAUGUGUAGAUAUCGGAAGGAGCGCCAGCAGCGAAAGCGGCACACUGGGCAUCUACUGACGCUGAGGCACGAAAGCUAGGGGAGUGAACGGGAUUAGAUACCCCCGGUAAUCCUAGCCGUAAACACUGAACACUGGGGGAGGGAGGCUUCGGCCUUCUUUCUCGUAGCGAAAGCGUUAAGUGUUCCGCCUGGGGAGUAUGGUCGCAAGGCUGAAACUCAAAGGAAUUGACGGGGGCUCACACAAGCGGUGGAGCAUGUGGCUUAAUUCGAGGCAACGCGAAGAACCUUAUCCUGGGUUUGACAUGUACGGAUUAACCCUAUGAAAGUAGGGCCACGCUCGCAAGAGUGGAACGUGCUCAGGUGCUGCAUGGCUGUCGUCAGCUCGUGUCGUGAGAUGUCGCGUUAAGUCGCUAAACGAGCGAAACCCCUAUCUUUAGUUGCCAGCGAGUCAUGUCGGGGACUCUAAAGAGACUGCCGGUGUCAAACCGGAGGAAGGCGGGGAGGACGUCAAGUCCUCAUGGCCUUUAUGCCCAGGGCUGCACACGUGCUACAAUGGGGCGUACAAAGCGCCGCGAAGUUGCGAAACCAAGCUAAUCGCAAAAAGCGCCCCCCACUUCGGAUUGCAGGCUGCAAUUCGCCUGCAUGAAGCCGGAAUCGCUAGUAAUCGCCGAUCAGCAUUGCGGCGGUGAAUGUGUUCUUGAGCCUUGCACUCACCGCCCGUC
Molecule: ribosomal RNA, 986 nt
Filed under: uncultured bacterium
Lineage: Bacteria
Description: bacterial SSU rRNA
Rfam family: Bacterial small subunit ribosomal RNA
Source: RNAcentral